GAUUUCGUAGCUCAGUUGGAUAGAGCGCUGGUUAUACUAAAACCUUGCCCUUGAUGUCGUGGGCUCGAAUCCCACCAAGUUCU
Molecule: transfer RNA, 83 nt
Filed under: Schistocephalus solidus
Lineage: Eukaryota; Metazoa; Platyhelminthes; Cestoda; Diphyllobothriidea; Diphyllobothriidae
Rfam family: tRNA
About the family: Transfer RNA (tRNA) molecules are approximately 80 nucleotides in length. Their secondary structure includes four short double-helical elements and three loops (D, anti-codon, and T loops). Further hydrogen bonds mediate the characteristic L-shaped molecular structure. tRNAs have two regions of fundamental functional importance: the anti-codon, which is responsible for specific mRNA codon recognition, and the 3' end, to which the tRNAs corresponding amino acid is attached (by aminoacyl-tRNA synthetases). tRNAs cope with the degeneracy of the genetic code in two manners: having more than one tRNA (with a specific anti-codon) for a particular amino acid; and 'wobble' base-pairing, i.e. permitting non-standard base-pairing at the 3rd anti-codon position.
Source: Rfam by way of RNAcentral